RNAcentral lists this ribosomal RNA (342 nucleotides) under uncultured bacterium. RNAcentral's name for it is "bacterial SSU rRNA". It matches the Rfam family "Bacterial small subunit ribosomal RNA", at positions 8 to 352 of the family's 1533-position model. The record is from RNAcentral.
AGAGUUUGAUCAUGGCUCAGAUUGAACGCUGGCGGCAGGCUUACACACAUGCAAGUCGAACGAUGAUUUCCCAGCUUGCUGGGAAUGAUUAGUGGCGGACGGGUGAGUAACAUUUAGGAAUCUGCCUAGUAGUGGGGGAUAGCUCGGGGAAACUCGAAUUAAUACCGCAUACGACCUACGGGCGAAAGGGGGCGCAAGCUCUUGCUAUUAGAUGAGCCUAAAUCAGAUUAGCUAGUUGGUGGGGUAAAGGCCCUCCAACGACGAAACAUACCGUAAAUCAUGUGAGAGGAUGAUCAGUCCCUCGUUUUCCGAGACACAGUCAUGACUAUUACUGGGGGCUUC